CCUACGGGAGACAGCAGUGAGGAAUAUUGGUCAAUGGACGCAAGUCUGAACCAGCCAUGCCGCGUGCAGGAAGACGGCUCUAUGAGUUGUAAACUGCUUUUGUACGAGGGUAAACGCAGAUACGCGUAUCUGUCUGAAAGUAUCGUACGAAUAAGGAUCGGCUAACUCCGUGCCAGCAGCCGCGGUAAUACGGAGGAUUCAAGCGUUAUCCGGAUUUAUUGGGUUUAAAGGGUGCGUAGGCGGUCGGAUAAGUUAGAGGUGAAAUCGCGAGGCUCAACUUCGGAAGUGCCUCUGAUACCGGUCGGCUAGAGAGGAGUUGCGGUAAGCGGAAUGGAUGGUGUAGCGGUGAAAUGCUUAGAGAU
This 362-nucleotide ribosomal RNA is filed under the name uncultured bacterium. RNAcentral describes it as "partial 16S ribosomal RNA". It matches the Rfam family "Bacterial small subunit ribosomal RNA", at positions 338 to 697 of the family's 1533-position model. The record is from RNAcentral.